RNAcentral lists this long non-coding RNA (1349 nucleotides) under Monodelphis domestica (gray short-tailed opossum). Its description in RNAcentral is "lncRNA (ENSMODG00000042421.1)". Lineage: Eukaryota; Metazoa; Chordata; Mammalia; Didelphimorphia; Didelphidae. The record is from RNAcentral.
CAUAUACCAGAAGAAGAACAGGGGAGAGAAGUCCUUGGCAUUGGCCUUUGUUUUCUUCUUUCUCAUUCCAGACGAGGUCCUGCUCUGUGGAUGGGAGGUCUGCUUCUGGGGAGCCGCCUAGCAGGAGGCUGAGUGGGAGCUGAGUCAUUAAUCACGAUUUUUCAUGAUGUAUUAUGUAACAUGUAAUGCUGUACCAGGCACUAUAAGGAACAGGAAAAAGACAAUUUCCGCUCAAGAAGAGCUAUGCUGUCAAAUAUGUUCAGGCCAGCUACUGUCCUACACUUCCCUCCAGUCUCCAGCUGUUCUCAGGCCUCUGACAUGUCCCAGCCCUCCAGGGGAAAGAAGAUAAAGCUUCAUUCAAGGGCUUCCCAUUCAGGAAAAUGACCAACUAGAGCCUCCACUCUUGUGCUAGUCAGUGGAGGGCAAGAGCAAGCCAACUCCUUCCCCACGAUGGGCAAAAAGGGCCUCCCUUAGCUAGGACAGUCUGCCCCAUGCCCCUCAGUGGCGAUAAGAACCCCAAGAGUCCCAAGCUCCAACUACCAGGGUUAGAAUUGGAAAUAGCCUCCAGGUAAGUCCCUAGGGAGGGAAUCUUGCCUUCUCUGCUCCAGGUUCUUCAAGCUCAGCUCUCCAAAGAGAAGUGGCCCUGCUUUUUGGGGGGAGGUUGAGCUACAUCACUGGACUGAGUGAUAAAGUGAUCACCACUCCAGAGUCAUCAGCCAUUGCCACCUCUCCCAGUUCUCCCCUGCCCUGGGAGCUCAGUGAGAUGCACUGACAAGCAGAGAUCUCCAGCGCCACCACAAAUGUCUGUUUUCUUCAUCUGAGCUCAUAUUCCAACACGUACCAUAUACAUACUCUCAGGGAGGACACUCCUCUAUGAUCAUUUAAGUAUAAAAGCCCAGCAGAGGUAUAGAGUUUAUCAACUACUUUUUUGGAAUGGUUUUAGGGAUGAACCUGAAGGAAUGAACCAGUUAAUCUCCCAAAGUCCCUGUCUACACUGGGUACUGGUGGCUCCAUGGAACAUAUAAUUCAGGCACAGUGAGAUGGCUAGGUGCCAGGGUGGAUAAAGGGCUAGCUGUAGUAAAGAAGGCCUGAGUUCACAUUCUGCCUUUGAUGCUUACUGGUGACCCUGGGCAAGUCAUUUAACUCUCUCAGCCUCGGUUUCCUCAUCUGUAAAAAGGGGUUCCAUAAAACACCUACUAUAUGGGAGCAGUGUGAGUAGCAGACAAGCUAACAUCUGUAAAGCACUUUACAAACCUUAAAACUCAUUAUAAAGGCUAGCUAUUUUCAUUCACCAAGACAUAUCAUGGCUCUUCAGGUCCUUUCUAGGGAAUGAAUGACAGCGUCCUUUC